UACAGAGGGGGCAAGCGUUAUUCGGAAUUAUUGAGCGUAAAGGGCGCGUAGGCGGCUUGGCAAGUGGAAGGUGAAAUCCCUCGGCUUAACCGAGGAACUGCCCUCCAAACUGCUUUGCUUGAGGCCGGGAGAGGUGAGUGGAAUUCCCAGUGUAGCGGUGAAAUGCGUAGAUAUUGGGAGGAACACCAGUGGCGAAGGCGGCUCACUGGACCGGUUCUGACGCUGAUGCGCGAAAGCGUGGGGAGCAAACGGG
This 253-nucleotide ribosomal RNA is filed under the name uncultured bacterium. RNAcentral describes it as "partial 16S ribosomal RNA". It matches the Rfam family "Bacterial small subunit ribosomal RNA", at positions 524 to 776 of the family's 1533-position model. The record is from RNAcentral.